UGGUGGAGUGAUUUGUCUGGUUAAUUCCGUUAACGAACGAGACCUCAGCCUGCUAAAUAGCUCGGCGGAGCCAUCCGGCUCCGGCUACCGAGUCUUCUUAGAGGGACUUUUGGUGCGUAGCCAAAGGAAGUUUGAGGCAAUAACA
RNAcentral lists this ribosomal RNA (145 nucleotides) under uncultured eukaryote. RNAcentral describes it as "partial 18S ribosomal RNA". It matches the Rfam family "Eukaryotic small subunit ribosomal RNA", at positions 1299 to 1458 of the family's 1831-position model. The record is from RNAcentral.